GAACAUCAAAGUUAGACUUCGAGAAACACACGAAGAGAGAGAGAGAGAGUAUGCGAAAUAGAACAUACGGUAAAGUACCGUAGAAAAAAGACAAGAAGAUAC
RNAcentral lists this non-coding RNA (102 nucleotides) under Fragilariopsis kerguelensis. Lineage: Eukaryota; Bacillariophyta; Bacillariophyceae; Bacillariales; Bacillariaceae. The record is from RNAcentral.